This 68-nucleotide small RNA is filed under the name Streptomyces pluripotens. RNAcentral describes it as "ASdes TB sRNA". It matches the Rfam family "ASdes TB sRNA". The record is from Rfam by way of RNAcentral. Lineage: Bacteria; Bacillati; Actinomycetota; Actinomycetes; Kitasatosporales; Streptomycetaceae.
AGCUUGUCCGGGUCCACAGCGCGCGAGGUCAGUAGGUAGUCACGCAUCACGAUGCCGUGGCGGCCCUC